GAUCCCUUUAGUAACGACGAGCGAACCGGGAUAAGCCCACCAUGAGAAUCGGUCGCCCUCGGCGUUCGAAUUGUAGUCUGGAGAAGCGUCCUCAGCGGCGGACCGGGCCCAAGUCCCCUGGAAAGGGGCGCCGGAGAGGGUGAGAGCCCCGUUGUGCUCGGACCCUGUCGCACCACGAGGCGCUGUCGGCGAGUCGGGUUGUUUGGGAAUGCAGCCCCAAUCGGGCGGUAAAUUCCGUCCAAGGCUAAAUAUUGGCGAGAGACCGAGAGCGAACAAG
Molecule: ribosomal RNA, 277 nt
Filed under: Alexandrium minutum
Lineage: Eukaryota; Dinophyceae; Gonyaulacales; Pyrocystaceae
Description: partial Eukaryotic large subunit ribosomal RNA
Rfam family: Eukaryotic large subunit ribosomal RNA
Source: RNAcentral